CCUACGGGAGGCAGCAGUGAGGAAUAUUGGACAAUGGGCGCAAGCCUGAUCCAGCCAUGCCGCGUGCAGGAAGAAGCAUCUAUGGUGUGUAAACUGCUUUUGUACAGGAAGAAACACUCCCUCGUGAGGGAGCUUGACGGUACUGUAAGAAUAAGGACCGGCUAACUCCGUGCCAGCAGCCGCGGUAAUACGGAGGGUCCGAGCGUUAUCCGGAAUCAUUGGGUUUAAAGGGUCCGUAGGCGGUUUAAUAAGUCAGUGGUGAAAUCUGGUCGCUCAACGAUCAAACGGCCAUUGAUACUGUUAGACUUGAAUUAUAAGGAAGUAACUAGAAUAUGUAGUGUAGCGGUGAAAUGCUUAGAUAUUACAUGGAAUACCAAUUGCGAAGGCAGGUUACUACUUAUGGAUUGACGCUGAUGGACGAAAGCGUGGGGAGCGAACAGGAUUAGAUACCCUGGUAGUCCACGCCGUAAACGAUGGAUACUAGCUGUUCGGAGCAAUCUGAGUGGCUAAGCGAAAGUGAUAAGUAUCCCACCUGGGGAUACGUUCGCAAGAUGAAACUCAAAGUAGUAAGUCGACGUGAGAGUAGCGACGAGCACGAGGGAGGUUAG
This 608-nucleotide ribosomal RNA is filed under the name uncultured bacterium. Its description in RNAcentral is "bacterial SSU rRNA". It matches the Rfam family "Bacterial small subunit ribosomal RNA", at positions 338 to 949 of the family's 1533-position model. The record is from RNAcentral.